This 72-nucleotide transfer RNA is filed under the name Daphnia pulex (common water flea). It matches the Rfam family "tRNA". Rfam says of the family: Transfer RNA (tRNA) molecules are approximately 80 nucleotides in length. Their secondary structure includes four short double-helical elements and three loops (D, anti-codon, and T loops). Lineage: Eukaryota; Metazoa; Arthropoda; Branchiopoda; Diplostraca; Daphniidae. The record is from Rfam by way of RNAcentral.
GUUCCUAUGGCUUAGAUGGCAAAGCGCCUGCCAGUAAGCAGGAGAUCACGAGUUCGAGUCUCGUUGGGACCU